This 200-nucleotide unclassified non-coding RNA is filed under the name soil metagenome. RNAcentral's name for it is "partial contains internal transcribed spacer 2 and large subunit ribosomal RNA". The record is from RNAcentral.
UCGAGCGUCAUUUCAACCCAUCAAGCUUCGGCUUGGACUUGGGGCCUGCGGUUUCGCAGCCUCUAAACUCAGUGGCGGUGCUAUUGAGCUCUGAGCGUAGUAAUUUUUCUCGCUAUAGGGUCUCGGUAGUUACUUGCCAGUAACCCCCCAAUUUUUAUCAGGUUGACCUCGGAUCAGGUAGGGAUACCCGCUGAACUUAA